AGAGUUUGAUCAUGGCUCAGAUUGAACGCUGGCGGCAGGCCUAACACAUGCAAGUCGAGCGGCAGCGCGGGGGCAACUCAGGCGGCGAGCGGCGGACGGGUGAGUAACGCGUGGGAAUCUAACCAGUAGAGGGGGAUAGCCCGGGGAAACUCGGAUUAAUACCGCAUACGCCCUAAGGGGGAAAGCAGGGGAUCUUCGGACCUUGCACUAUUGGAAGAGCCCGCGUCGGAUUAGCUAGUUGGUAGGGUAAAGGCCUACCAAGGCGACGAUCCGUAACUGGUCUGAGAGGAUGAUCAGUCACACUGGAACUGAGACACGGUCCAGACUCCUACGGGAGGCAGCAGUGGGGAAUAUUGCGCAAUGGGCGAAAGCCUGACGCAGCCAUGCCGCGUGUGUGAAGAAGGCCUUAGAGUUGUAAAGCACUUUCAGUAGGGAGGAAAGGUGUAAGGAUAAUACCCUUGCGCUGUGACGUUACCUACAGAAGAAGCACCGGCUAACUCUGUGCCAGCAGCCGCGGUAAUACAGAGGGUGCAAGCGUUAAUCGGAAUGACUGGGCGUAAAGCGCGCGUAGGUGGUUUGUUAAGUUGGAUGUGAAAGCCCUGGGCUCAACCUGGGAACGGCAUCCAAAACUGCCAGACUAGAGUAUAGUAGAGGGGGGUAGAAUUUCCGGUGUAGCGGUGAAAUGCGUAGAGAUCGGAAGGAAUACUAGUGGCGAAGGCGGCCCCCUGGACUGAUACUGACACUGAAGUGCGAAAGCGUGGGUAGCAAACAGGAUUAGAUACCCUGGUAGUCCACGCCGUAAACGAUGUCUACUAGCCGCUGGGCAGCUUGACUGUUCAGUGGCGCAGCUAACGCGAUAAGUAGACCGCCUGGGGAGUACGACCGCAAGGUUAAAACUCAAAUGAAUUGACGGGGGCCCGCACAAGCGGUGGAGCAUGUGGUUUAAUUCGACGCAACGCGAAAAACCUUACCAGGUCUUGACAUCCAGAGAACCUUUCAGAGAUGAGAGGGUGCCUUCGGGAAUUCUGAGACAGGUGCUGCAUGGCUGUCGUCAGCUCGUGUCGUGAGAUGUUGGGUUAAGUCCCGUAACGAGCGCAACCCUUGUCCUUAGUUGCUAGCAGGUAAAGCUGAGAACUCUAAGGAGACUGCCGGUGACAAACCGGAGAAAGGUGGGGACGACGUCAAGUCAUCAUGGCCCUUACGACCUGGGCUACACACGUGCUACAAUGGCCGGUACAGAGGGCUGCGACCCAGCGAUGGUAAGCCAAUCCCUUAAAACCGGUCGUAGUCCGGAUUGGAGUCUGCAACUCGACUCCAUGAAGCCGGAAUCGCUAGUAAUCGCGAAUCGGCAUGUCGCGGUGAAUACGUUCCCGGGCCUUGUACACACCGCCCGUCACACCAUGGGAGUGGGUU
Molecule: ribosomal RNA, 1413 nt
Filed under: metagenome
Description: bacterial SSU rRNA
Rfam family: Bacterial small subunit ribosomal RNA
Source: RNAcentral